CCAAAGUUAAAAAACAAAAAGAAAACGAAAUAGAACAAAGUAGCUCUAAUCUCUCAUAGAUGCAGUAGUGCUUUUUUGCAUGAGUACCUUUCACAUUUUUCUGUCAGAUUCUGAUUUAGAGGCAUCUUUGGGAGACGAAAACGUAUGUUUCUAAUUAUCUCAUUUUUUCCCCAUUUCAAAUAUUUCUCUAAUUUGAUGUGCAGCAUGAUACACUUUCUCUUCUUAACUCAUUUUCCCAUUUUCUUUCAAUCUUCUAUAUCAACAGCAUUUUUCUUUGGUUGGUCUAAAAUAGCGUCUCUACAUAGUACAACAAUGGCCAUGAAGAAAGACUGUAGGUAGGCGGAUGGAAGUAGGACUUAAUGUUAGUAAAUAAGCACAAAGAACAUAGAAUUAUAUUAUAGGAACGUUUUUUGGUCAAAAGUAGUAAGGACUAUUGUUCAUAUUUUUCUUGGAGAAAAUAAACCAAAAUCUUUAUGAAAUGUUUAAGGCAUGCUGAAAGUAUUUGGCAUAAAUAUUAACAAGGGAGAAUCAUCCAAGGCUGCUAACUUUUCAUGCACUCACAGAAUUAAAUCAAGCACACAUAAACAUGGGAGAAUCUCAACAUAAUGGACAUCCUAAUCAGGAG
Molecule: long non-coding RNA, 625 nt
Filed under: Olea europaea subsp. europaea
Lineage: Eukaryota; Viridiplantae; Streptophyta; Magnoliopsida; Lamiales; Oleaceae
Source: RNAcentral